GACGAACGCUGGCGGCGUGCCUAAUACAUGCAAGUAGAACGCUGAAGAGAGGAGCUUGCUCUUCUUGGAUGAGUUGCGAACGGGUGAGUAACGCGUAGGUAACCUGCCUUGUAGCGGGGGAUAACUAUUAGAAACGAUAGCUAAUACCGCAUAACAAUGGAUGCCACAUGUCAUUUAUUUGAAAGGGGCAAUUGCUCCACUACAAGAUGGACCUGCGUUGUAUUAGCUAGUAGGUGAGGUAAUGGCUCACCUAGGCGACGAUACAUAGCCGACCUGAGAGGGUGAUCGGCCACACUGGGACUGAGACACGGCCCAGACUCCUACGGGAGGCAGCAGUAGGGAAUCUUCGGCAAUGGGGGCAACCCUGACCGAGCAACGCCGCGUGAGUGAAGAAGGUUUUCGGAUCGUAAAGCUCUGUUGUAAGUCAAGAACGGGUGUGAGAGUGGAAAGUUCACACUGUGACGGUAGCUUACCAGAAAGGGACGGCUAACUACGUG
RNAcentral lists this ribosomal RNA (497 nucleotides) under uncultured bacterium. RNAcentral's name for it is "partial 16S ribosomal RNA". It matches the Rfam family "Bacterial small subunit ribosomal RNA", at positions 28 to 507 of the family's 1533-position model. The record is from RNAcentral.